This 301-nucleotide ribosomal RNA is filed under the name uncultured bacterium. Its description in RNAcentral is "partial 16S ribosomal RNA". It matches the Rfam family "Bacterial small subunit ribosomal RNA", at positions 509 to 809 of the family's 1533-position model. The record is from RNAcentral.
CAGCAGCCGCGGGAACACGAAGGGGGCUAGCGUUGUUCGGAUUUACUGGGCGUAAAGGGCGCGUAGGCGGACUGACAAGUCAGGGGUGAAAUCCCAAGGCUCAACCUUGGAACUGCCUUUGAUACUGUUCGUCUUGAGUUCGAGAGAGGUAAGUGGAACUGCGAGUGUAGAGGUGAAAUUCGUAGAUAUUCGCAAGAACACCAGUGGCGAAGGCGGCUUACUGGCUCGAAACUGACGCUGAGGCGCGAAAGCGUGGGGAGCAAACAGGAUUAGAUACCCCUGUAGUCCCUGUCUCUUAUAA